AUACGGAGGGUCCAAGCGUUAUCCGGAAUCAUUGGGUUUAAAGGGUCCGCAGGCGGUCAAUUAAGUCAGAGGUGGAAGCCCAUCGCUCAACGAUGGAACUGCCUUUGAUACUGGUUGACUUGAGUUAUACGGAAGUAGAUAGAAUAAGUAGUGUAGCGGUGAAAUGCAUAGAUAUUACUUAGAAUACCGACUGCGAAGGCAGUCUACUACGUAUAUACUGACGCUGAGGGACGAAAGCGUGGGGAGCGAACAGGAUUAGAAACCCCGGUAGUCC
RNAcentral lists this ribosomal RNA (274 nucleotides) under uncultured bacterium. RNAcentral's name for it is "partial 16S ribosomal RNA". It matches the Rfam family "Bacterial small subunit ribosomal RNA", at positions 523 to 796 of the family's 1533-position model. The record is from RNAcentral.